UAGGGAAUCUUCGGCAAUGGGGGGAACCCUGACCGAGCAACGCCGCGUGAGUGAAGAAGGUUUUCGGAUCGUAAAGCUCUGUUGUUAAGGAAGAACGAGUGUGAGAAUGGAAAGUUCAUACUGUGACGGUACUUAACCAGAAAGCCACGGCUAACUACGUGCCAGCAGCCGCGGUAAUACGUAGGUGGCAAGCGUUGUCCGGAUUUAUUGGGCGUAAAGCGAGCGCAGGCGGUCAAUUAAGUCUGAUGUGAAAGCCCCCGGCUCAACCGGGGAGGGUCAUUGGAAACUGGUUGACUUGAGUGCAGAAGAGGAGAGUGGAAUUCCAUGUGUAGCGGUGAAAUGCGUAGAUAUAUGGAGGAACACCAGUGGCGAAGGCGACUCUCUGGUCUGUAACUGACGCUGGGGUUCGAAAGCGUGGGUAGCAAACAGG
This 430-nucleotide ribosomal RNA is filed under the name Bacteroidota bacterium. Its description in RNAcentral is "Bacteroidetes bacterium partial 16S ribosomal RNA". It matches the Rfam family "Bacterial small subunit ribosomal RNA", at positions 355 to 776 of the family's 1533-position model. Lineage: Bacteria; Pseudomonadati; Bacteroidota. The record is from RNAcentral.